GACGAACGCUGGCGGCGUGCUUAACACAUGCAAGUCGAACGAUGAAGCCCAGCUUGCUGGGUGGAAGAGUGGCGAACGGGUGAGUAACACGUGAGUAACCUGCCCUUAACUCUGGGAUAAGCACUGGAAACGGUGUCUAAUACUGGAUACGACCUAUCACCGCAUGGUGUGUGGGUGGAAAGAUUUAUCGGUUCUGGAUGGACUCGCGGCCUAUCAGCUAGAUGGUGAGGUAAUGGCUCACCAUGGCGACGACGGGUAGCCGGCCUGAGAGGGUGACCGGCCACACUGGGACUGAGACACGGCCCAGACUCCUACGGGAGGCAGCAGUGGGGAAUAUUGCACAAUGGGCGCAAGCCUGAUGCAGCAACGCCGCGUGAGGGAUGACGGCCUUCGGGUUGUAAACCUCUUUUAGUAGGGAAGAAGCGAAAGUGACGGUACCUGCAGAAAAAGCACCGGCUAACUACGUG
RNAcentral lists this ribosomal RNA (467 nucleotides) under uncultured bacterium. Its description in RNAcentral is "partial 16S ribosomal RNA". It matches the Rfam family "Bacterial small subunit ribosomal RNA", at positions 28 to 507 of the family's 1533-position model. The record is from RNAcentral.